This 901-nucleotide ribosomal RNA is filed under the name Streptomyces sparsus. RNAcentral describes it as "bacterial SSU rRNA". It matches the Rfam family "Bacterial small subunit ribosomal RNA", at positions 56 to 970 of the family's 1533-position model. The record is from RNAcentral. Lineage: Bacteria; Bacillati; Actinomycetota; Actinomycetes; Kitasatosporales; Streptomycetaceae.
UGCAAGUCGAACGAUGAAGCCUUUCGGGGUGGAUUAGUGGCGAACGGGUGAGUAACACGUGGGCAAUCUGCCCUGCACUCUGGGACAAGCCCUGGAAACGGGGUCUAAUACCGGAUACGACACAUCACUGCAUGGUGAAUGUGUGGAAAGCUCCGGCGGUGCAGGAUGAGCCCGCGGCCUAUCAGCUUGUUGGUGGGGUAAUGGCCUACCAAGGCGACGACGGGUAGCCGGCCUGAGAGGGCGACCGGCCACACUGGGACUGAGACACGGCCCAGACUCCUACGGGAGGCAGCAGUGGGGAAUAUUGCACAAUGGGCGAAAGCCUGAUGCAGCGACGCCGCGUGAGGGAUGACGGCCUUCGGGUUGUAAACCUCUUUCAGCAGGGAAGAAGCGCAAGUGACGGUACCUGCAGAAGAAGCACCGGCUAACUACGUGCCAGCAGCCGCGGUAAUACGUAGGGUGCGAGCGUUGUCCGGAAUUAUUGGGCGUAAAGAGCUCGUAGGCGGCGUGUCACGUCGGAUGUGAAAGCCCGGGGCUUAACCCCGGGUCUGCAUUCGAUACGGGCAGGCUAGAGUUCGGUAGGGGAGAUCGGAAUUCCUGGUGUAGCGGUGAAAUGCGCAGAUAUCAGGAGGAACACCGGUGGCGAAGGCGGAUCUCUGGGCCGAUACUGACGCUGAGGAGCGAAAGCGUGGGGAGCGAACAGGAUUAGAUACCCUGGUAGUCCACGCCGUAAACGUUGGGAACUAGGUGUGGGCGACAUUCCACGUCGUCCGUGCCGCAGCUAACGCAUUAAGUUCCCCGCCUGGGGAGUACGGCCGCAAGGCUAAAACUCAAAGGAAUUGACCGGGGCCCGCACAAGCGGCGGACCAUGUGGGUUAAUUCGAACGCACCCGGAAGAACC